GAUGAACGCUGGCGGCGUGCCUAAUACAUGCGAGUCGAGCGAACAGACGAGGAGCUUGCUCCUUCGACGUUAGCGGCGGACGGGUGAGUAACACGUAGGUAACCUACCUAUAAGACUGGGAUAACUUCGGGAAACCGGAGCUAAUACCGGAUAAUAUUUCGAACCGCAUGGUUCGAUAGUGAAAGAUGGCUUUGCUAUCACUUAUAGAUGGACCUGCGCCGUAUUAGCUAGUUGGUAAGGUAACGGCUUACCAAGGCAACGAUACGUAGCCGACCUGAGAGGGUGAUCGGCCACACUGGAACUGAGACACGGUCCAGACUCCUACGGGAGGCAGCAGUAGGGAAUCUGCCGCAAUGGGCGAAAGCCUGACGGAGCAACGCCGCGUGAGUGAUGAAGGUCUUCGGAUCGUAAAACUCUGUUAUUAGGGAAGAACAAACGUGUAAGUAACUGUGCACGUCUUGACGGUACCUAAUCAGAAAGCCACGGCUAACUACGUG
RNAcentral lists this ribosomal RNA (497 nucleotides) under uncultured bacterium. Its description in RNAcentral is "partial 16S ribosomal RNA". It matches the Rfam family "Bacterial small subunit ribosomal RNA", at positions 28 to 507 of the family's 1533-position model. The record is from RNAcentral.